RNAcentral lists this transfer RNA (72 nucleotides) under Patescibacteria group bacterium. RNAcentral describes it as "tRNA-Met". It matches the Rfam family "tRNA". From Rfam's summary of the family: Transfer RNA (tRNA) molecules are approximately 80 nucleotides in length. Their secondary structure includes four short double-helical elements and three loops (D, anti-codon, and T loops). Further hydrogen bonds mediate the characteristic L-shaped molecular structure. tRNAs have two regions of fundamental functional importance: the anti-codon, which is responsible for specific mRNA codon recognition, and the 3' end, to which the tRNAs corresponding amino acid is attached (by aminoacyl-tRNA synthetases). tRNAs cope with the degeneracy of the genetic code in two manners: having more than one tRNA (with a specific anti-codon) for a particular amino acid; and 'wobble' base-pairing, i.e. permitting non-standard base-pairing at the 3rd anti-codon position. The record is from RNAcentral.
GGCAGGAUAGCUCAGCGGUAGAGCAACGGAUUCAUAACCCGUAGGUCGUGGGUUCGAACCCCACUCCUGCCA